AGAGUUUGAUCCUGGCUCAGAACGAACGCUGGCGGCAGGCCUAACACAUGCAAGUCGAGCGCACCCUUCGGGGUGAGCGGCGGACGGGUUAGUAACGCGUGGGAAUAUACCCAGUUCUAAGGAAUAGCCUCGGGAAACUGAGAGUAAUACCUUAUACGCCCUUCGGGGGAAAGAUUUAUCGGAAUUGGAUUAGCCCGCGUUAGAUUAGAUAGUUGGUGGGGUAAUGGCCUACCAAGUCGACGAUCUAUAGCUGGUUUGAGAGGAUGAUCAGCAACACUGGGACUGAGACACGGCCCAGACUCCUACGGGAGGCAGCAGUGGGGAAUCUUAGACAAUGGGCGCAAGCCUGAUCUAGCCAUGCCGCGUGAGUGAUGAAGGCCUUAGGGUCGUAAAGCUCUUUCUCCAGGGAUGAUAAUGACAGUACCUGG
Molecule: ribosomal RNA, 428 nt
Filed under: uncultured Alphaproteobacteria bacterium
Lineage: Bacteria; Pseudomonadati; Pseudomonadota; Alphaproteobacteria
Description: bacterial SSU rRNA
Rfam family: Bacterial small subunit ribosomal RNA
Source: RNAcentral